UACGAAGGGGGGCUAGCGUUGUUCGGAAUCACUGGGCGUAAAGCGCACGUAGGCGGAUUCUUAAGUCAGGGGUGAAAUCCCGAGGCUCAACCUCGGAACUGCCUUUGAUACUGGGAAUCUUGAGUAUGGUAGAGGUUGGUGGAACAGCAAGUGUAGAGGUGAAAUUCGUAGAUAUUUGCUAGAACACCGGUGGCGAAGGCGGGUCUCUGGGCCGAUACUGACGCUGAGGAGCGAAAGCGUGGGGAGCGAACAGG
Molecule: ribosomal RNA, 254 nt
Filed under: uncultured bacterium
Lineage: Bacteria
Description: partial 16S ribosomal RNA
Rfam family: Bacterial small subunit ribosomal RNA
Source: RNAcentral